AGAAGAAGUCAUAACCAGAUCCAGGCGGCGCCAGUGACCAAGCAACACACAUCCGUCCCCCACGUCGCCUGGAGGCGACACAGGCGGAUCCAGAUCGGGCGCCACCGGCAGCCCCCUCCUCCUCCCCACCUCCCCUCGCCGUCGCCGGAGGAGGCCGCCGGGCUAAGCCCGGGCGGCGGACGGCGGCGGCGGGGCCUCUCUUUUGCGUCGGGAUCUCGUGGCGGGGGAGGCACGCCUCCUUGCGGUGCUGCGCGACGGCUACGGCGCGAAGAUCCUCCGAGGCUGCGUCUCCGGUGGGUGGCGGCCACGGUGGUGUCGUCGUCAGGCUCCAGGGAUUCGGUCCGGCGGCUCCUGCCCGGCGAGUAGGGGCGGGGUGGUGCCCCCCCUUUCCUGCUUUCAGUCAUUCGUUUCCGCGCAGGUCGGCUGCUCUGGCCGGCCCUUGGUGGUUGCUGCUGUGCUGCGGCAAGGGGGCGCCAGAUCCGGCGGUUCUUCGUCGGAUCCGGCUCGUCUGCGUCUUUCGGAGGGUCGGUCAUUCCGGUGGCCUUGCCUGCGGCAGUGAGGCGGGUGUGCGUGCUCAGUGGUGGGCCCUGUGAGGUGACAACGCGGUUGCUAUGCAGGGGUGUGCGUGUCAGCGGCGGUGUGGGCCGGCUUGUGCCGGCUGCGUGAGGGUGUUGGUCGUGUCUCUGCUCCAAGCGCAAGCUUGCCCGGAUUUGGCCGGCCGGCGGUGGCGGCGACUACGGGCGCCGUUUCCCUUGUUGAAGGCACCGCCGUGGAGUUCUUCGGCCUGCUACAACCUCGGAUCUGGUUCUUCGGGUGAAAGCCUAGACCCUUCUGGGUCGGGCAACGACGCCGUCCGUACGGCGUUUCCUCCUUUGGGGCGUUGCUUUGAAGACCGGUGAUCCUUUCCCGUGCUUCCUUUGGGCUGGCCGUGCACGGUGUCUCGAUUGGCAGGUGCCCAACCGGUGAUUCGAGUGGUUGGCGUUGCGACUCGUGUGGCGACAACGAUGGUGAAGUGUGGAGCUGGGUCGCGGCUUGUCCUUUUGAUGUCGGCGGUUCAGUUCGCCUUUGGGUGUGUCUAUGCUUGUUUCUCACUGUGACAGAGAAGUCGAAGCUGCGUGCGGCAGGGCCCAUGCGGCAACGAUGACUCCAUGAGGGUGGUUUCGGCGGACGGUGCUCUCCGCAGGUCGCGUUGGAUAGGUCGAUGCGAGGCUUGCAACUUUCUUCUGUGAAGCUCAUCAACAAAAUCGGAGCUGCCGGUCCUCGACGUCUGCGGCCGAUUGUUUGGCUUCGGCUGACGAGGUCCUCGAGUGCCGUUCGUUCGGAGGGGUCUUGAUGGUCGUCAGCGAGGAAAUCGGAGUCGCCUGCUCGCGGAGAGGCGAUGACGAUGACAUUGUUGGUAGGGUGACGGUGUCCUCUCCUCGGCGUUGUGUGGGGUCUUGUAAGUGCCAGGUCGGUCGGAUUGCCCUGUUCGAUGGGCGAGUUGUAACGGUUUUCGCCCGGUUUUCCGUUAAUUAACCGGACAACUCUCUUCUUCUUAAUCAAUGAAAAUAGCAAAUC
This 1557-nucleotide ribosomal RNA is filed under the name Triticum aestivum (bread wheat). RNAcentral's name for it is "partial small subunit ribosomal RNA". The record is from RNAcentral. Lineage: Eukaryota; Viridiplantae; Streptophyta; Magnoliopsida; Poales; Poaceae.